This is a long non-coding RNA of Podarcis raffonei (Aeolian wall lizard), 344 nucleotides long. RefSeq lists it as uncharacterized. The transcript is spliced from 2 exons. The record is from RefSeq and is a predicted model, not a curated record. NCBI's taxonomy places the organism in Eukaryota, Metazoa, Chordata, Lepidosauria, Squamata, Lacertidae.
GCAGCCGCUGAAGAGGUAACAAGGUUUAGUGAGCAGGAAGAGGCUGUGGCAGAAAGCAAUCCAGAGGCAGAAGCAGAGGCCAGAGAGGAGGUGGGCCAAGAGGCAGAAUGGAGGCAGGCUCAAGAAUCCAGGGAGUCUCCCCCCUUCUGUUGUGGUGGCCAGCUCCCCUACCCCCAGUCUGGAACACAGAGAAAUGAAAAGAGCUGAGCUGAGAUUGGUUGUGCACAGACGCAGUUUGCGAUAGCUCGGGAAGAGCAGGAGCCUUAGUGAGUGGUGGGAAGAAGACCUGCUGGGAUCACUAGGCCUGCACUGUUCUGUUUUCUUUGAAUAAAAAGUUAACUGCA